UGGGGGAUAUUGCACAAUGGGGGAAACCCUGAUGCAGCGACGCCGCGUGAGGGAAGACGGUCCUCUGGAUUGUAAACCUCUGUCUUCGGGGACGAAACGAGACGGUACCCGAGGAGGAAGCCACGGCUAACUACGUGCCAGCAGCCGCGGUAAUACGUAGGUGGCAAGCGUUGUCCGGAAUUACUGGGUGUAAAGGGAGCGUAGGCGGGCAGGCAAGUCAGGCGUGAAAUAUAUCGGCUCAACCGGUAACGGCGCUUGAAACUGCAGGUCUUGAGUGAAGUUAGAGGUUGGCGGAAUUCCUAUUGUAGCGGUGAAAUGCGUAGAUAUUAGGAGGAACACCAGUGGCGAAGGCGGCCAACUGGGCUUUUACUGACGCUGAGGCUCGAAAGUGUGGGGAGCAAACAGGAUUAGAUACCCUGGUAGUCCACACCGUAAACGAUGAUUACUAGGUGUGGGGGGACUGACCCCUUCCGUGCCGGAGUUAACACAAUAAGUAAUCCACCUGGGGAGUACGGCCGCAAGGUUGAAACUCAAAGGAAUUGACGGGGGCCCGCACAAGCAGUGGAGUAUGUGGUUUAAUUCGACGCAACGCGAAGAACCUUACCAGGUCUUGACAUCGUAUGCAUAAUGUAGAGAUACACGAAGUCCUUCGGGACAUACAGACAGGUGGUGCAUGGUUGUCGUCAGCUCGUGUCGUGAGAUGUUGGGUUAAGUCCCGCAACGAGCGCAACCCUUGUAUUUAGUUGCUACGCAAGAGCACUCUAGAUAGACUGCCGUGGACAACACGGAGGAAGGUGGGGAUGACGUCAAAUCAUCAUGCCCCUUAUGACCUGGGCUACACACGUACUACAAUGGCAAUAGAACAGAGGGAAGCGACUCAGCGAUGAGAAGCAGAUCCCGAAAAAUUGUCUCAGUUCGGAUUGCAGGCUGCAACCCGCCUGCAUGAAGUCGGAAUUGCUAGUAAUCGCGGAUCAGCAUGCCGCGGUGAAUACGUUCCC
RNAcentral lists this ribosomal RNA (998 nucleotides) under uncultured bacterium. RNAcentral describes it as "bacterial SSU rRNA". It matches the Rfam family "Bacterial small subunit ribosomal RNA", at positions 355 to 1375 of the family's 1533-position model. The record is from RNAcentral.